UACGAAGGGGGCUAGCGUUGCUCGGAAUCACUGGGCGUAAAGGGUGCGUAGGCGGGUCUUUAAGUCAGGGGUGAAAUCCUGGAGCUCAACUCCAGAACUGCCUUUGAUACUGAGGAUCUUGAGUUCGGGAGAGGUGAGUGGAACUGCGAGUGUAGAGGUGAAAUUCGUAGAUAUCAGGAAGAACACCUAUGGCGAAGGCAGCUCUCUGGGACGGUACUGACGCUGAGACGCGAAAGCGUGGGGAGCGAACAGG
RNAcentral lists this ribosomal RNA (253 nucleotides) under uncultured bacterium. RNAcentral's name for it is "partial 16S ribosomal RNA". It matches the Rfam family "Bacterial small subunit ribosomal RNA", at positions 524 to 776 of the family's 1533-position model. The record is from RNAcentral.